Ctenopharyngodon idella (grass carp) is the source of this 9103-nucleotide long non-coding RNA. RefSeq lists it as uncharacterized. The transcript has 8 exons. NCBI's taxonomy places the organism in Eukaryota, Metazoa, Chordata, Actinopteri, Cypriniformes, Xenocyprididae. The record is from RefSeq and is a predicted model, not a curated record.
ACACACCCAGAGCAGUGGGCAGCCAAUGCUGCGGUGCCCGGGGAGCAGUUGGGGGUAUGGUGCCUUGCUCAAGGGUCUCACCUCAGUCGUGGUAUUGAGGGUGGAGAGAGCGCUGUACAUUCACUCCCCUCAUUUGAACCCAUGACCUUUGGGUUACAAGUCUAACUCUCUAUCUAUUAGGCCACAACUGCCCAAGUCAUAAGGAGACUUGGAGCCUGGAAAAGGACACCAAAUAACCAAAUGAUAUAAGGAGUCCAUAUAAUUCAUAAAUGUAUGCACAUGAAAAAAUUACAGAAAAAAAAAAAUCAGAAUUCACAGUGUAUAGUAUAGCCUCGUUUCCACUGCAGGAACUUUCCCCAGGAACUAGGAAUUUUGGACUGGUGUGUUUCGACCACAGGAACUAGGGUCUAAAUUAAGUUCUUGGUAAAAAAUUUCCCCCUCAGAAAGCCCCUGCUCAUGAGGUAGUACUUUCGCAAAGUUCAGGAAAUUUCAGGGUGGGACUUGGGCGCUGAACAUUUGAGUUCACGCAGUUAACACGCAGCAUUUUAUUUCAACCACCAUUUUUAAAAGUCUGUUGCGGUGCGUGCAGUAAGGCCAUGUGUCCACCAAAGCAUUUUUUCCAACGGCUAGCAUACUUUUCCAAUUGUUUUCAAUGGGAGCGCCGCGUUUUUUAAAUGCCAGGAGCAUAACAAGGUGCUGAGUAUCUUUUUUACGCUCUAGCUCUAAGCACUCAGCGUUUUUUACCGGUCGCCUCGAGUUGAAGAAUGUUCAACUUUGCGUAAAACACUGCGCUCCUCACUGUCACUUUUUAGUCAGCCGUCCAAUCAGAGUGGAGGAGGGGCGGGACAAAUACAACACGACCAACUGUCACAACAUUCUUGCUGUACAACGACAUCAAUAAGCAGAGAACGGAACAAAAUGGAUGAGAAAUUAAUAUUGCUGGUCUCCGAACAUACAUAGCAAGUACUCUACAUUGUGUCGACAUUUUUAGUCUGAAACAAAUUACCAGCAAAAUCAGUUAUAAGUAACAGUGCUGCGGAUAUUCCGUAUCAUAGCAACGAAGCAUCUCAACUGAAAAAAACACUGCAUUGCUGAAGCGCUCUCAAGCGCUCACAGCUAGGCGUUUUCAGCAGAGCGCCUAGCGUUUUCAGCUGGUUAAAAACGCUUUGGUGGACACACGACCUAAGGCUUUUUUGCUAUUCGAAUCAACACUGGAGUUUAAAAAAUACGACCGAUGAACCAACAACGAGGUUCAGGCAUUAUUAAGCUUAUAUGAGGAGGACGAAAUCCAGCGGGAACUGUAAAGUCGUGCACAGUCCUAUGUCAUCAGACUUAAUCGUCAUGGUACUUUAGACCGUGAUGGAAACACAGACAGCAACAGGUCUGGGGGAAAAAAAGUUCCUGGGACAAAUUGUUCCGGUAAUUUUGGUGGAAAAGUGGCUUAUGUGUACAAUGCAACAGCAAAGAUUUUGUUUACAUUUUAGACAAGUUGCGAUACUGAACAGGACCACAUAAAUAAUAUAAAUAUAAAAAAACAAAAGAACUAAACCAACUGCCUUGACCUGACUGCAGUAUAUGGAUCCAUUCAUAAUUACUAAACACAGCAACAUACACAUGACAAAUCAAAACAUUAUCCUGAAUGUGUGUGGAAACAAUGUGAAUGUACUGAAAUGUGUCUGUGCAUAAAUACAGUGUGCGAUCAGUGCGUUGAGAGUGCACAUAUACUGGUUGUUUGCGCAUUAUAACAUACUCACGUGUGCUUACUCCUGUACGUCACCGCAAUCGUCUUUACCUUGAUGCAAUCCUCAUCCAUCAAAACUUUACUAGCGAGACGCUGGUUUGCUUUAUCCAGCAAAGAAAUUUAGUAUCGUCUGGCCAGCUGUGGGAUGUUUUGACAUACAGUUCAGUCUAUAUUUCACACAGAGUGAUGUGUGAGGGCUUGUGCUCUUCAGAAACAAUGACAGAGCUCAUGUUUUAAGGGGAAAUACACACUGGAAUGAAUAAUUAACUGAAAAUGCAAUGUGAGUCUCUAUUCUCUCUGCCAUCUUUGAUGAAAUAAGCCUGGUUUUGGACUGAUUGUUUGAAUUAAUUCACUUACUGGAUCAUUGAACUGAAAACUUUCCCAGAGUUUAGUGACUUAAAAUGAUCUGAUCGCAAACAGAGAAGCGAAAUCGGGUUAAAAAGGGUUAGAAUAGAAAUUUCCACCUACCAGGGGUACAGGUGCUUGCGCCAUUGACUAAACUCCUGUCUUCUAAGAUCCUCAAACUGUGUGAUGUAAAUUGUUAAUUUGACGUGCUUCACUAAUUUAUUUGCGUUAAAUUAUUUUAACAUGUUAAGAAUUUUGAAUUAAUCGCAUUAACGCUGACAGCCCUAAUAUAUAUAAAUAUAUAUACACACACACGUAUACAAUCAGAUUAAGUGCAAAUAUUUUAUAAUCUUUCGCAGAUUUGUUUAAUAGUAUGAUUUCUGGACAUAAAAAUCAGGAAGAUUUCUGAUCCCCCUUAAUUUUUGCAGCAUUUUGAUGAUGAUGAUGAUUAUGAUGAUGAACCAUUAGGUUGCGAGACCCCUCUGAGAGAGUGGUUCCCAUAAGAUAACGUCAUCAGCUUCUCCAGCUCCCAGCAGCAGCUAAUGCUUGAGGGCUUCAAACAGCCCUGCGGGUUCUAUUGUGGAGUCCGGCUUGUGGGGAGGAGAAGAAACGACCAGCUCAGGUUUCAUGAAGCACCACUCCUCCUUGACACAAAAAAGGGCCAACCUUGCUGACCCUCUGCCCUCUCCCACCAUUGUGUUCUUUCUCUGUUGCUGUGGCUCUAGCCACCAGAUUGGUUUGCUCAGGAAUGGGAGAGGAUGUGUCUGCCGCUCCAUCUGUCAGACAGAGGAUCAAAUAAUAGGAUUUUCUGUCCUGGAAUUGAAGAUAAUUGCAGUCUCUAUUCCGCUCCCUAACCGUAUGAUAUUAACCUUGCACUCCUGAGCCCACACUGGGGGCAGAACUUGGGCCAGAUGGCACUGUGUUUUGAUAUCUGAUCCAGGCGAGGAGGUCAAGUUGAAGUUCAAGUCCAAAGGACCGCUGUCCCUGCCUCCGCUGACACAAUAGAGGUGUCAUUCAAAUAGGACGUCCUUAACAUUACUGGUUCUUUGCUGGGAGGACAAAAAGUGGAAGCAAAAGAGCAGUUAUACAUACGGUGCACUGCUAAGGGUGAAGGCGUAAACCAUUUAUACAUACCGAGGGCACGGCAGGAGAGGCCGGGGGUUGGAAGAGGCUUGCUUUGGGAACGUGAGCAGUGUCAGCGAAUAGAUUCAGUAUCAAAGGUUUUUGCUGUCAUACAUGGGUCAAAAGUGAGUAAGAUAAGCCAUUCAAAUGUCUCAUUGCUGUCUAUUUGCGUUUGAGUUUGUAAGGGCAUUGUGGGGAAAAAAAAACAUAAAGGGAAACUGUCCAAAUGAGAAGCAAAAAUUUGCUUUGUGUGACCGACCAACCCCAUCACCAAAUGUAAUGAAUGAGCCAUUUCGAACACUUUUGAUGAUAAGUCUGCCUGCAUGUGGUACGGUGGCCUCCUGUGGUGGCUUUGAGCCGAAUACACAGUAAUGAUGUUCCCCUUCUCCCAUGGUGCUCCUGAGCGUGCCCUGGUUACUGUCCCCUUGGUAACAUGCACACAUUUAGAAAUCCUUAUAUACACGCUUGCUAUGAUUAUAUUGGUAAGAAAGCAACUAAUUAAAUAAUAUCAAAAGUUUUUUUUUUUUUUUUUUUGCGUGUCAUGAUAUACACUUGAAUGAACUUGGUGAACCUUGAUUCUUGUUUUACACUGAUAUAUAUAUAUAUAACUGUAAAUGAAGCUUAUUGGACCAUAAAGAUCUGAUUUCUUGGCAACAUUUACCCCCUAAUUCUCAUCUGAUUAUUAUUAUAAUGUGAUUUUAAUUUAUAUAUCAUUUUUAUAUAGUGUACAUAUUAUAUAAAUAUUGAGAGAAUUCAGGGAGAAAAUAUGCUUAAUUUUCAUGAAAAUAAUGUCACAAUGCUAAAAAUGGGCUUUAUUUUCUUUAUACAAAUAUAUAUAUAUAUAUAAUUUUUUUUUUUUUUGAUUGUUUUUUAGGGUGAGCCAAAUAUCGCUUCUACAGAAUCUUCUUUUAAAUAAGGGAUUUUGUCAUUUUACUCUUAAGACAUAAGCUGUCUUCCUUAGAAUUUUACCUGGAUUUUUUUUUGAUUCACCCAAAUAUUUCCCAAUUUUACUUCACAUUCAUGAACAAUUAAUGGGAUGAUUUGUUUGUAUAAUGCCAAAAGUUUUUUUCCUUCUUAAAAUUUUUUUCCCAUUUCUUUAAUAUGUUUUCUUUACAUAAGCACCUCCACCUUAUAUGCUCCUUUUGUGGAUGAAUGCCAUGAUUUAUAUAGUCAUGCUCUCUCUUUCCUCCUCUCCCUCCCUCUCUCUGCACCUUGCAUGGGAUGGCGUGAAGUUAUUGUAAUUUAGUGAUGAUUUGUCACUGUCAUCCUCCAGGUUCCCGCUGUAUCCCGAGACCAGCGCUGGGCCCCUCUCCGGCUGGGGUGUACAGGGGACUGCCACGUCAUCUAUAUGGGAGCCCCAUUAAUAAGGGUUAAAUCUGGCUAAUUGUAAUCCAAUUAAUAACAGACACAAUGAUCUAGCGUCCGUUUGUUAUUUGAGGACCCAGCUGAAACGCUUUUGAGGGUUCAUGCCCCCCAGGGUUCGCCCACCAUUGUUGGCUUACUCAGUAUGCAAGGCUAGUUUUUAUUAAAUCUGUUGACUAGCAGCCAAUGUUAGGCUGCAAUGCCAGUGGCCCUCUCCGGUGCAUCUCACUUCUUCAAAGGAGACAACUUAAUGGCAACCCUGGUGUUAUUAUCCUUACCAUAUUUCUUCCAAUUACCCCUGUUAUCUCUCUCUUUCUUUACAUUCCAAUUUAGUACAGUAAAUCACGAGAAGCGGACUUUUAUUGUCAAUGAUAUAUGCCGUAGAACUGAGUGAGAGAAAAAUAGGAGAGUGAACCUAUUUGUGUUUAUGGCUUUAGAGGGAAAGAGAUAAAUGACCUGGCUUUUUUAUUUAGUUUUAAUGAAGAAGGGAUUGAGGGACUCCCUGUCCCGGUGGCAUUAAUGUGAUUUUUUUCUCCUCUCCAAAGAAGCGCUUGCCUGUCCUCGCAUUUGUUUGUGACCUAGUUGUGCUGGUCUCCGGAAAGGACAUCCGGCUUUGUUUGCGUGAACAUCCAGUGUCCUCCGUGCUCAUAAACACACUAAUGGGUUUUUCAUCGCGGCAGCUGGACAGGGGUGGAGAAGGAGCGAGCACUUACAGUAAACGAUCAGUGUCCCUCGAUAUUAAACGUCCCUCCGGCCACUAGGCUAAACGAUGGUUCCAUUUAGACCCUCCCCAAAGCUCCCUCCUACCCACUUAAAGCCCCCGCCUCCACCGUCUCCUGCUCCCGUACAAGGCAGCACCAAACAAUAUUAGCCGAGCCACCUUAUGCUCUCCACAUGAGUCCCCUCAAUCGUUCAGCGUUAAUUGGAUACUCAGUCCCCAAUUAAGUUCUUGGCCCAAAAGGAGAGCAUGAAAAAACAAGACAGGUUUAGCUCCCUUCUGUGGGACUUCAUUAGACGGCUACUGCUGCAACAUCCUUAGGGAGAGAGAGAGGACAGUGUCGUACACACGCACACACUCACGCACAGUAAACACAAUAGCCCGGUGACACAGCUCGAGUGAAGGGGCUGGAGCGCUGGGAGAGUGAGGCUGGAGAGAAGUUAAUUACACACACUGUGUGUUUCUCACUCGCCUGAAAUAUUUGGAAUUCAUUAGCAAAAUCAAUAUUCAUUCGAUAUCCACGCAGAAACACAGAGUGUGUGUUGUUCGUCUAAAUAUGAAAAAUUUUAAUCGUUAACUCAUGCACCCUCAUUAUGCUCUGAGCCUGUGUAACUUUCUAUCCUGCGUGGAACACAAGUGGUAUUGUUUUUACUCUUUUUCAAUAUAAUGCAAGUGAAUGAGGCCUAAAAAUGGACCCUAAAAGAAUGAUAAAAGUGGUUCACAUGACUCACAUGUUCACAUGUGUGAUGUUGCAACCCAUUCUCAAUCAGAAGGUGUCGCUAUAUCGAAGAACUAGGAAUGCCAUUACUUUUAAAAAUGUCUUCACACCUGUUUUAUUUCUUUUUUUUCCUUUUUUUUUUUUUUUUUUUUUUUUUUGUGAAGUAAAAUUGAUUACACAUUUAAUUCUUUGCAUCUAUCCAAAAGUAUGUAAGGUAGUACAACUAGAUCUCUUUUAUUGAAUCUAAAAGGUUUUAAUUAUAUUUUGCUAAAUUUAAAUGUAUUUUAAAGAUUUUGAAGUGUCAAAAGGUCAUUCGGUUUAACCGUCCAAAGGCCAAUACAGCCAUUUCAUUUGUGAUUAAAAUAUCUUAAAAUGUAAUAAAUGUAUAUAUGUUUUAUUCUGGCAUGAUUUUAUAACAUCAUAUAUCAACAUAGUGCAAAAUGGUAUUAAAAUUAUGUGUAGUCGUUGCUUUGUUAUGAGAAAGAAUGUCUGGAAAAAUGAAUUUUAUUGAUGUCAUUCGGAGUAACCAAUAUUUAAGUCAUGCGGUCAAUAUCAUGUGACAGGAUGUGACAUCAUUCAGACACCUGCAAAGGACCACAUGGUCGUGAAGCAAAGUAAUUAACUUUCUUAACUAUUUGAAAAAUUCAUGUUUUCACUUGAUCAUUCGCAUGUCCCGAAACAUUGGGUCAUUUGGUACAACCACUAUAAAACAUGGAAAAUGUUGUAAUAUUUUAGAAAUUUGUACUAAAUAUAAAAUGUUUGGUUGUCCUUUUGCUAGCUAGUUAGCUUGCUAGCUAGAUAUCAGCCUGUUAGCAUGUUUGAAAAUAUCGUCAUUUGGUAUAACCGAAAGUGUCAUUCGGUAAAACCGAAAUUUUGGUUAUACCGAAUGACUUUUUUGGUGACAAAUUUUGUCCAUCUUGUAAAAAAUUACAAAAGCAGUGUUAAUUAAUUAAAAAAAAAACAAAAAAAAAACACACCCAAUCUCAUUGUUAACACAUAAUAAAACUUCAAAAUUAAUUUAUAUCUCCAUUAUGUUUUUUUUUUUUUUUACACUUUUAAAAACCUUAUUCGUCAAUGACCCACACACACACACACACACACACACAACUAUCACAUGUCUUUAUAAGAUUUGGAAUAUAGUGUUUAAGUAAAAUGUAUUUUCUGGUGCUUUUACAUAAUUUCUAAAGCAGAUUCAUUGUUACAUUAAAAAGAGCAACCAGCACAUUAAUCAAAAUGACUUUUUUUGUGUUCCACAGCAGAAAGAAAGUCUUACAAGUUUGAAACAACAUGAGGUUGAGUAAAUGAUGACAGGAUUUUCAUUUUUGGGUGAACUGCAUGUUGAAAAUGCAUGUUGAGUUUGCCCUCUGUGGAUGGAAAUGUGGCCUCAAACCAGUCCGCCUGUGUUUACCGCCCCUCACUUUUGCUCUCGCAUCCCCCUCUCUCUGUCUUUUUCCACAAGAACGGGGUUGUAGUUUACUCAUAAAUUCAUCAGGCACAAGGUUUGCACGUAACAAUUUGUGACUCGUGUGUCUUUUCAUUUUAGGGAUAGUAGGACACAGACACCGCCGCAAAACAGCAUGCUGUAUACUGUAAUGAAGUUGAUUUUUUAAUGUUCCUGCCACACAGGAUAAAAGGCAGGCUAAUCACAAAGACCAGCCCACCCCCCCAAUCAGUUGCUAUUUAUUUUGACUGGAAGCUCCAGCUAAAAGCGAUGGCAGUGAGCGUGAAGCAAUUCCGUCGAAUCAGAGCUUGCUAGGUUUUGAUUUGGUGUUUGUGUGUGUAUGGCAAUGUUAAAUUCCUCACUGAAUGAUGGAAAGCCAUGUGUGCUUUGUUCAGAGUGGUACUUCAUCGUAACCUCCUCUUAUUUAGUCUCUUUUUACAGGUACUGAAAUGUCUAUUAACAGAAUGGCUGUUGUUCCCUGUGGUUGGCAUGAAAAGAGUUAUCAGGGUAACGUUAACUUUUAAUGCAUCUAUAAAUUUACAAUUAAAUGGCUUCUUAGCUGUGGAUAGUGCUGUCUUCUCCAGACUGUCUUUCCACAGGGUGGUGAUAGCAUGUUGGUGUUGUCCUGAAGCUUGCCUGAAGACUGCCUUAAGGGGAACUCCUCAGAGGAGGCCAUGAGCCUACUGAACUUCCCUCCUUUCACCCCACAUCAGCCAAUCGGCUUCGAGCAACUACGCGAGCCUGGAUAACCGCUCUGGAAGCUGUUUCUCUGAAAUAAAGAAAGCCAUACGGGUUUGGAACAACAUAAGGUUUACUGAGCAACGUAAAGUGACGUCAUCCAAGUCACGUCAUUGCUCUAACCGAGAAGAAUCCAUUCAUACUUGGCAGACACUCGCAAGCGACCAGAGCAAACUUAAUAGAACAACUUGCUGAACUGGAUGCUGAAUACUAAUGAGUGAGCCUCAACACUUAAGGUUUGUGCUGAGUUUCACUGUAUCAAAGAAAGCGAUACACACCAGCAAGAUUUCAGAGAUGAUGUGAGACAUUGAAUGUUUAUGAUCUUCCGGAAACGAGCUCUGCGUGCUUUCCCAGUGUACGUGUGAGGACGACCCACAGUUCUUCAAGACUUGAAAUGGCGUUUGGCAUAAUCUUUGCACGUUCGCUUUGUAGACACUGGAUCUGAAGAAAGACGUGAACAUCUUGGAUGACAUGGGGGAAGAGUUGGCCGAGCCAGACAUCACUGACAUCAACUGACACAAACAUCACAAAAGGGAUUUUGUCAUCAUGGACAACGAAACCACUGCACUGCAGUUGUGAUGGAAGAUGAUCUUCCAGUGUGUUUGACAUGUUCAGAAAUACACAGUCACAAGGUUAAAAAAAAAAAAAAAAAAAAAAAAAAAAAAAAAAAGGUUGGAUAAAAAAAAGUCAAUUGUAUAGCCAAAGUUGUGUUUUUUGUUGUUGUUUUUUUUAAUGGUGAACUUCAGCUUGAUGAAUUAGUUAUUAGCCUGAGUUAUGCAUAGGUGUUUUUGAGUUAAUAUUUGUAUUUAAUAAAGUACCACUGCAUCAAAAUAGAGAAAUGAAAAACAUUAACAUUAAUGGUAAACAACAGUAAAGUACAGUGCCCUUAAACAUUAAAUAAAAAAACAAAUUAAAACA